UGACCCUAUAAAAUGGAGAUAUAUUAAUUUAAUGACUUGAGAGAAAACUUUAAGAGUCAUUGGAAAUGAUAAAGCAGCAACAAGAUGACCAUGUGCCAAAUCCCACACAAGCACGCGACAAUCAGCACCAGCUGAAGCUAAGAAUCGACCUUCAGCCGAAAAUGCAAGAGAAUAUAUUGGACCUUUAUGACCUGUCAUUAAUCUUACUUGACUACCGGUUACGCAAUCCCAUAAUCUCACGGUCAUAUCGCUAGAACCGGUUGCAAUGUAAUUUGAAUUAGGAUGAAACUGUACUACCUAUAAAACAGAUGUUAAUUUGCAUUUAAAAAUGUUAAAAUUUAAUGUUUAAUGUAAUUGGCAAUGACACUUUCUUAUAAUAAAACUUACAUCAACAUCAGA
Vespa mandarinia (Asian giant hornet) is the source of this 399-nucleotide long non-coding RNA. Lineage: Eukaryota; Metazoa; Arthropoda; Insecta; Hymenoptera; Vespidae. The record is from RefSeq and is a predicted model, not a curated record.